UGUAGCACCUGCAGAGAGCUCUAUGUAAGCCUCAGGUGCCGGUUGACCAUUCAGUUGUGGCAGGAACUAUGGGAGGAAUUUGGCUUCUGGGUUUUUGUGCAGUCGCAUUGUGGCUUAAAGGGUCUUGUUUACCGAUUGAUCAUAAUGGAGGAAUACAUUAUGAACCAAAAGGGACUGGAAACUCAUUGUCCCAAAACAAGAUUCCUCUAGAGAAAACAGUUGCUUUACUCCAGUCAAUGGAUUCCAGGUUGCUGGGAACUUCAAAAGAAGUGCAACUGGAAACCAACGAAGUGGAAUUGGACAACGUGUCAAGCGACGCCUCCCACAACGUGUCAAGCGACGCCUCCCACAACGUGUCAAGCGACGCCUCCCACAACGUGUCAAGCGACGCCUCCCACAACGUG
Fundulus heteroclitus (mummichog) is the source of this 404-nucleotide long non-coding RNA. RefSeq lists it as uncharacterized. The record is from RefSeq and is a predicted model, not a curated record. Lineage: Eukaryota; Metazoa; Chordata; Actinopteri; Cyprinodontiformes; Fundulidae. The transcript is spliced from 4 exons.